Ictidomys tridecemlineatus (thirteen-lined ground squirrel) is the source of this 69-nucleotide non-coding RNA. The record is from Rfam. Lineage: Eukaryota; Metazoa; Chordata; Mammalia; Rodentia; Sciuridae.
GGGGUUGUGGCUCAGUGGUAGAGCACUUGCCUCAUAUGUAUGGAGUACUGGGUUCGAUCCUCAGCACCA